GAUGGUGUAGUUGGUUAUCACGCGCGCCUAACACGCGCGAGGUCCCGAGUUCGAUCCUCGGUUCGAGCA
Non-coding RNA from Geosiphon pyriformis, 69 nucleotides. NCBI's taxonomy places the organism in Eukaryota, Fungi, Glomeromycota, Glomeromycetes, Archaeosporales, Geosiphonaceae. The record is from the annotation of a GenBank genome assembly.